This 3943-nucleotide long non-coding RNA is filed under the name Salmo salar (Atlantic salmon). RNAcentral's name for it is "lncRNA (ENSSSAG00000096682.1)". Lineage: Eukaryota; Metazoa; Chordata; Actinopteri; Salmoniformes; Salmonidae. The record is from RNAcentral.
CUCCCAUAAACACACCUUCUCCUCCCAUAAACACACCUUCUCCUCCCAUAAACACACCUUCUCCCUCCCACAUAGGGCUGUUGUGGUGACUGUAUUACCGCCACACCAAAAGUCAUGAGUCAUGACCACAGUAAAAUUGAAUGGUAAAUCUCCUCUUAUGUACUCUGGACAUGUUAGACAUACCCAACUCGCUAAUGACCGUCAGGUCCUAAUGGCCUGGUACUCAGGGCUCUAUUGUUCCUCCAUCAGGUCCUAAUGGCCUGGUACUCAGGGCUCUAUUGUUCCUCCAUCAGGUCCUAAUGGUCUGGUACUCAGGGCUCUAUUGUUCCUCCAUCAGGUCCUAAGGGCCUGGUACUCAGGGCUCUAUUGUUCCUCUAACCACCUUUGAAGUCAAUGCAAAUGCAAUUUAAAAUCGCAUAAAAAACUGAUCAUCAAAACAGUACCGUACUUUUAAAACUCACCUCAUCUGUGAUGAUGAAUUUGAAGAAAGAUGUUCGACAACAGGUUGAAACGGAGAGGAAAACAUGGUCCUUGUGGACGCAAAAGUACAAAUGGAUAGUUAGCUAGCUAACUUAUUGUAACGGUAACUAAAGUUGGGCUUGUAUAUGUGAUGGAUUGCAGACCAGGCAGUGUGCAGUAGACUGUAUAGUUUGCAGUACGGUUAGCCUAGCUAGCGAGCUAGCUACCGCUGUUAGCCACCUAGCAUGCUAACUCGUAGAGAACAAUGGGGCCACCAUUUAGGUGUUAGCCUAGGCUAACGGUUAGCCUAGCUGUUAGCCACCUAGCUCGUUGAGAACAAUGGGGCCACCAUUUAGGUGUUAGCCUAGGCUAACGGUUAGCCUAGCUGUUAGCCACCUAGCAUGCUAGCUCGUUGAGAACAAUGGGGCCACCAUUUAGGUGUUAGCCUAGGCUAACGGUUAGCCUAGCUGUUAGCCACCUAGCAUGCUAGCUCGUUGAGAACAAUGGGGCCACCAUUUAGGUGUUAGCCUAGGCUAACGGUUAGCCUAGCUGUUAGCCACCUAGCAUGCUAGCUCGUUGAGAACAAUGGGGCCACCAUUUAGGUGUUAGCCUAGGCUAACGGUUAGCCUAGCUGUUAGCCACCUAGCAUGCUAGCUUCGUUGAGAAACACUCAGAAGUAUAUUAGAGCUGAUUAUAGACCUACUAUAUACGAGGCCAAGACCGGAACAUCUGAAUUAAAAUAACGAUUGUUCCCUAAUACAAUACAUAGCCUAUUGCAUAUUAUGCACUUUAAUGAUUUAAGAUGUCUUUGGUACAUAAUUUGGUCUAUCCUAUUCUCCUACAUUAAAACACACACUAGUAACGGCCUUUGAAUGUGGACUGUAUUAUUAUGCAUACUGGGUGGACUGGUUAAAUGUAUAGGCUUAGGUCAUGUUGCUGCUUCAUUGAUUGUGCAAGGUGGCUUACAAUAAUUAUUACUUACUUAUAAUUAUUGUGAAUUUGUAAUUGAUUUUUAAUUAGCCUGGUAAAAAAAAGGGCUUUUUUUUUUAUACUUUCAUAAUUAAUCGGCUGACACAUUACCUUUAAUAACUGGAGAAUAUAUCUCACCACUGUGUUUUUCCCAUCUCCUCUCUUCUUCAUUCCUUUCUCAAGGAUGUAGAGAGAGAGAGGUGCUGUCACCAGCUUCAUCCACUAUGUUUCGUUGGUUGGAGGGCCCAUACAGAGUACUGGGUAGCUGCAGGAACAAGGUUGGAGGGCCCAUACAGAGUACUGGGUAGCUGCAGGAACAAGGUUGGAGGGCCCAUACAGAGUACUGGGUAGCUGCAGGAACAAGGUUGGAGGGCCCAUACAGAGUACUGGGUAGCUGCAGGAACAAGGUAGGAGGGCCCAUACAGAGUACUGGGUAGAUGUAGGAUCAGGGUAGGAGAGCCCAUGGCAUACAGAGUACUGGGUAGAUGAACAGGGUAGGAGGGCCCAUGGCAUACAGAGUACUGGGUAGCUGCAGGAACAAGGUAGGAGAGCCCAUACAGAGUACUGGGUAGCUGCAGGGUAGGAGAGCCCAUGGCAUACAGAGUACUGGGUAGCUGCAGGAACAGGGUAGGAGUGCCCAUACAGAGUACUGGGUAGCUGCAGGAACAGGGUAGGAGGGCCCAUGGCAUACAGAGUACUGGGUAGCUGCAGGAACAAGGUAGGAGAGCCCAUACAGAGUACUGGGUAGCUGCAGGGUAGGAGAGCCCAUGGCAUACAGAGUACUGGGUAGCUGCAGGAACAGGGUAGUAGAGCACAUGGCAUACAGAGUACUGGGUAGGUGCAGGAACAGGGUAGGAGUGCCCAUACAGAGUACUGGGUAGCUGCAGGAACAAGGUAGGAGAGCCCAUGACAUACAGAGUACUGGGUAGAUACAGGAACAGGGUAGGAGAGCCCAUGGCAUACAGAGUACUGGGUAGCUGAAGGAACAGGGUAGGAGGGCCCAUGGCAUACAGAGUACUGGUUAGCUGCAGGAACAGGGUAGGAGAGCCCAUGGCAUACAGAGUACUGGGUAGCUGCAGGAACAAGGUUGGGAGAGCCCAUACAGAGUACUGGGUAGAUACAGUAACAGGGUAGGAGAGCCCAUACAGAGUACUGGGUAGCUGCAGGAACAGGGUAGGAGAGCCCAUACAGAGUACUGGGUAGCUACAGGAACAGGGUAGGAGUGCCCAUGGCAUACAGAGUACUGGGUAGCUGAAGGAACAAGGUAGGAGGGCCCAUGGCAUACAGAGUACUGGUUAGCUGCAGGAACAGGGUAGGAGAGCCCAUGGCAUACAGAGAACUGGGUAGCUGCAGGAACAAGGUUGGGAGAGCCCAUGGCAUACAGAGUACUGGGUAGGAACAGGGUUGGAGUGCCCAUGGCAUACAGAGCACUGGGUAGCUACAGGAACAGGGUAGGAGAGCCCAUACAGAGUACUGGGUGGAAUAUCACCUGUCGCGCAGCGAGAGGCUGGGUGCUCCUCAAACAGUGGUUGAUUUGUGGAGUGAAAUGUGUUCCCAGACAUUUCUAUAUGGAACCAAGCAGUGUUGAUGGGUGUCACUGAAAAGAGGAUCCCAGCUGCUACGCUGCCAGCUGCUACCCUGCCAGCUGAUACUCUGCCAGCUGCUACGCUGCCAGCUGCUACUCUGCCAGCUGCUACGCUGCCAGCUGCUACUCUGCCAGCUGCUACGCUGCCAGCUGCUACUCUGCCAGCUGCUACUCUGCCAGCUGCUACCCUGCCUGCUGCUACUCUGCCAGCUUCUACCCUGUCAGCUGCUACCCUGCCAGCUGCUACUCUGCCAUCUGCUACCCUGCCAGCUGCUACUCUGCCAGCUUCUACCCUGCCAGCUGCUACUCUGCCAUCUGCUACCCUGCCAGCUGCUACUCUGCCAUCUGCUACCCUGCCAGCUGCUACUCUGCCAUCUCCUACCCUGCCUUCUUCUACCCUGCCAUCCACUACCCUGCCAGCUGCUACCCUGCCAUCUUCUACCCUGCCUCUACCCUGCAAGCUGCUACCCUGCUGUUAAACCAGAGUAGCCUAACCGGCAUGAUUAAAGAGGGAAGAGCAGCCUCCAGUACGUACGGAGGAUAAGGUUAAAUUGAGACUAGGCUGCACACGUUCUCUCAUCAUGUGAUCAUAUUUUCACCCAUCACACGGAGACGAGGAUCCGACUUCCUCAAAUCAUAAUCACAGACUCACUCUGUUCCCGCCUAGAAAAUAUUACUCUCUAUAUCUCUCUCUCUCUCACUGUCUCUCUCUGUAUCUCUCUCACUGUCUCUCUCACUGUCUCUCUCUCUCUCACACUCACUCUGUUCCCGCCUAGAAAAUAUUACUCUCUAUAUCUGUCUCUCUCUCACUGUCUCUCUCUGUAUCUCUCUCACUGUCUCUCUCACUGUCUCUCUCUCUCUCACACUCACUCUGUUCCCGCCUAGAAAAUAUUACUCUCUAUAUCUGUCUCUCUCUCUCUGUCUCUCUCU